UACGAACUGUGCGAACGUUAUUCGGAAUCACUGGGCUUACAGGGUGCGUAGGCGGCUUGUUAAGUAGGGUGUGAAAGCCCCCGGCUCAACCGGGGAAUUGCGCCCUAAACUGGCGAGCUGGAGUGAGAUAGGGGUGUGUGGAACUUCCGGUGGAGCGGUGAAAUGUGUUGAUAUCGGAAGGAACGCCGGUGGCGAAAGCGACACACUGGAUCUUGUCUGACGCUGAGGCACGAAAGCCAGGGGAGCAAACAGG
RNAcentral lists this ribosomal RNA (253 nucleotides) under uncultured bacterium. RNAcentral describes it as "partial 16S ribosomal RNA". It matches the Rfam family "Bacterial small subunit ribosomal RNA", at positions 524 to 776 of the family's 1533-position model. The record is from RNAcentral.